AAGUCGUAACAAGGUUUCCGUAGGUGAACCUGCGGAAGGAUCAUUACCAAUAUGAAAGCGAAUGGGGAACCACAGCAACAUGGGCUUCGGCCUGCGUUGUCUGCCCCAUUCUGCUGAAUUAUUCACCCAUGUCUUUUGCGUACUAUUUGUUUCCUUGGUGGGCUUGCCUGCCAAUAGGACAAAAUUAAACCUUUUGUAAUUGCAAUCAGCGUCAGAAAACUUUAAUAGUUACAACUUUCAACAACGGAUCUCUUGGUUCUG
RNAcentral lists this unclassified non-coding RNA (261 nucleotides) under Neocamarosporium sp. RNAcentral's name for it is "partial internal transcribed spacer region". The stretch from base 1 to 46 matches the Rfam family "Eukaryotic small subunit ribosomal RNA", at positions 1786 to 1831 of the family's 1831-position model. Lineage: Eukaryota; Fungi; Ascomycota; Dothideomycetes; Neocamarosporiaceae. The record is from RNAcentral.